This is a non-coding RNA of Triticum aestivum (bread wheat), 118 nucleotides long. The record is from Rfam. NCBI's taxonomy places the organism in Eukaryota, Viridiplantae, Streptophyta, Magnoliopsida, Poales, Poaceae.
UGAUGUGAUCAUACCAGCACUAAACCAACGGAUCCCAUCAAACUCCAAAGUUAAGCGUGCUUGGGUGAGAGUAGUACUAGGAUGGGUGACCUCCUGGGAAGUCCUCGUGUUGCAUUCC